UUUGGCAAAGGCUGCUGCCAC
RNAcentral lists this non-coding RNA (21 nucleotides) under Arabidopsis thaliana (thale cress). The record is from RNAcentral. Lineage: Eukaryota; Viridiplantae; Streptophyta; Magnoliopsida; Brassicales; Brassicaceae.